This 106-nucleotide small nuclear RNA is filed under the name Carlito syrichta (Philippine tarsier). The record is from RNAcentral. Lineage: Eukaryota; Metazoa; Chordata; Mammalia; Primates; Tarsiidae.
AUGCUCACUUUGGUGGCACACAUACUACAUUGGAAUAAUACAGAGAAGAUUAGUAUUGCUCCUAUGUGAGGGAGACAUGUAAAUUCCUAAAGCGUUCCAUUAAAUA